This 786-nucleotide ribosomal RNA is filed under the name Lacticaseibacillus casei. Its description in RNAcentral is "bacterial SSU rRNA". It matches the Rfam family "Bacterial small subunit ribosomal RNA", at positions 40 to 789 of the family's 1533-position model. Lineage: Bacteria; Bacillati; Bacillota; Bacilli; Lactobacillales; Lactobacillaceae. The record is from RNAcentral.
UGUUGCCCUUAAAAUCCAGCAAGUCGAACGAGUUCUCGUUGAUGAUCGGUGCUUGCACCGAGAUUCAACAUGGAACGAGUGGCGGACGGGUGAGUAACACGUGGGUAACCUGCCCUUAAGUGGGGGAUAACAUUUGGAAACAGAUGCUAAUACCGCAUAGAUCCAAGAACCGCAUGGUUCUUGGCUGAAAGAUGGCGUAAGCUAUCGCUUUUGGAUGGACCCGCGGCGUAUUAGCUAGUUGGUGAGGUAAUGGCUCACCAAGGCGAUGAUACGUAGCCGAACUGAGAGGUUGAUCGGCCACAUUGGGACUGAGACACGGCCCAAACUCCUACGGGAGGCAGCAGUAGGGAAUCUUCCACAAUGGACGCAAGUCUGAUGGAGCAACGCCGCGUGAGUGAAGAAGGCUUUCGGGUCGUAAAACUCUGUUGUUGGAGAAGAAUGGUCGGCAGAGUAACUGUUGUCGGCGUGACGGUAUCCAACCAGAAAGCCACGGCUAACUACGUGCCAGCAGCCGCGGUAAUACGUAGGUGGCAAGCGUUAUCCGGAUUUAUUGGGCGUAAAGCGAGCGCAGGCGGUUUUUUAAGUCUGAUGUGAAAGCCCUCGGCUUAACCGAGGAAGCGCAUCGGAAACUGGGAAACUUGAGUGCAGAAGAGGACAGUGGAACUCCAUGUGUAGCGGUGAAAUGCGUAGAUAUAUGGAAGAACACCAGUGGCGAAGGCGGCUGUCUGGUCUGUAACUGACGCUGAGGCUCGAAAGCAUGGGUAGCGAACAGGAUUAGAUACCCUG